Molecule: ribosomal RNA, 490 nt
Filed under: uncultured bacterium
Lineage: Bacteria
Description: partial 16S ribosomal RNA
Rfam family: Bacterial small subunit ribosomal RNA
Source: RNAcentral
AUUGAACGCUGGCGGCAGGCUUAACACAUGCAAGUCGAGCGGUAGCACAGGGGAGCUUGCUCCAUGGGUGACGAGCGGCGGACGGGUGAGUAAUGUCUGGGAAACUGCCUGAUGGAGGGGGAUAACUACUGGAAACGGUAGCUAAUACCGCAUAACGUCGCAAGACCAAAGAGGGGGACCUUCGGGCCUCUUGCCAUCAGAUGUGCCCAGAUGGGAUUAGCUAGUAGGUGGGGUAAUGGCUCACCUAGGCGACGAUCCCUAGCUGGUCUGAGAGGAUGACCAGCCACACUGGAACUGAGACACGGUCCAGACUCCUACGGGAGGCAGCAGUGGGGAAUAUUGCACAAUGGGCGCAAGCCUGAUGCAGCCAUGCCGCGUGUGUGAAGAAGGCCUUCGGGUUGUAAAGCACUUUCAGCGAGGAGGAAGGUGGUGAACUUAAUACGUUCAUCAAUUGACGUUACUCGCAGAAGAAGCACCGGCUAACUCCGUG